AGUGUCAGCAGCCGCGGUAAUACGAAGGGGGCGAGCGUUGUUCGGAGUUACUGGGCGUAAAGGGCGCGUAGGCGGCGCUCCAAGUUAGGCGUGAAAGCCCCGGGCUCAACCUGGGAAUUGCGCUUAAGACUGGAGUGCUCGAGUGCGGAAGAGGUGAGUGGAAUUCCCAGUGUAGAGGUGAAAUUCGUAGAUAUUGGGAAGAACACCAGUGGCGAAGGCGGCUCACUGGUCCGCAACUGACGCUGAGGCGCGAAAGCGUGGGGAGCAAACAGGAUUAGAUACCCUGGUAGUCCACGCCGUAAACGAUGAGUGCUAGACGUUGGGGAACUUAGUUCCUUGGUGUCGCAGCUAACGCAUGAAGCACUCCGCCUGGGGAGUACGGCCGCAAGGUUAAAACUCAAAGAAAUUGACGG
RNAcentral lists this ribosomal RNA (413 nucleotides) under uncultured bacterium. RNAcentral describes it as "bacterial SSU rRNA". It matches the Rfam family "Bacterial small subunit ribosomal RNA", at positions 504 to 916 of the family's 1533-position model. The record is from RNAcentral.